GGAAUUAGAUUCAGACCUAACACAUGCAAGUCGAACGGUUCCUUCGGGGACAGUGGCAGACGGGUGAGUAACGCGUGGGAAUCUACCUAUUUCUGCGGAAUAACACAGGGAAACUUGUGCUAAUACCGCAUACGCCUCGUGAGAGGGAAAGAUUUAUCGGAGAUAGAUGAGCCCGCGUAUGAUUAGCUAGUUGGUGGGGUAAUGGCCUACCAAGGCGACGAUCAGUAGCUGGUCUGAGAGGAUGAUCAGCCACACUGGGAGUGAGACACGGCCCAGACUCCUACGGGAGGCAGCAGUGGGGAAUAUUGGACAGGGGGGGCAACCCUGAUCCAGCCAUGCCGCGUGAUUAAAGGAGGCCCUAGGGUUGUAAAGCUCUUUCACCGGAGAAGAUAAUGAC
Molecule: ribosomal RNA, 397 nt
Filed under: uncultured bacterium
Lineage: Bacteria
Description: bacterial SSU rRNA
Rfam family: Bacterial small subunit ribosomal RNA
Source: RNAcentral